Notolabrus celidotus (New Zealand spotty) is the source of this 828-nucleotide long non-coding RNA. RefSeq lists it as uncharacterized. The record is from RefSeq and is a predicted model, not a curated record. Lineage: Eukaryota; Metazoa; Chordata; Actinopteri; Labriformes; Labridae. The transcript has 2 exons.
ACUACCAGCCUGAAGGCAGCAUAAGCUCCAUGAUCUGCUUAGACUGUGGCAUAGAGCGCCACAAAGUGGCUGCUUUAUAGUGCAGUUCAGCUAAAAUAACCCAAGCAGUUGCAUGUGUACCUACACUCUGUUUCUUUUCUAUGGUGAUCAUUCAGACGUCACCAAUAGAGGAAAAUCAUGUUGACUUUUUGGUCACACUCAUUUACCCAGAAUUGCCUGUUCAACUGCUGACAAGGGAGAGGUUUUGAAACUAAAGCUGGAGCCGUGUGUGCAUCAUUGGGAUAGCAGCUAGUCCCCACAAUGAUUUCAGAUUUUUGUUAUUGUAAUACUUUUGUACAUGUGGUUGAGUUGUGAUUGAUAAAAAAUCUAUUUUAGAGUUAUGGUUUAAAUGUGUUACCUGUCAGUGUAGGUAGGAUGCGAGGUCUGUCUUUUCCAAAAAGCUGAAGAAAAAUUGCAAGUUGUUUCUCCUUUGGGGCUUUGUCCAAGCCAUUGGCUAUCAGGGUGCUGCAGGCCUGGCUGAAUUCAUCAUCAUCCCAGGGUGGCAGAGAUGAGCCUGGACCCCCGAUGCAGUCAAGGUUGUCGAGGCUGCGAUUGUUGGAGAGCUCUCGCAGAGAUGGAAGACAGCUGGAAAAAGGAAAAACAAAAUGAAAGAGAUGUGUUUAGGAUACAGAUAUUGGGAGGCAAUAUUAGUAGGGUGUGAGAAAACGGUCAGAGAGAAGGUAGAAAUACAUUUUAUGUCAAUGUAUGAUGAGAGGUGGACGAAGGGAAAGAUAGAAUGGGGAAAAAUGAGCAAUAAUUGAAAGAGACAUUAAAGGUUCUUCCAGAAGA